UACGUAGGGUGCAAGCGUUGUCCGGAAUUAUUGGGCGUAAAGAGCGUGUAGGCGGUCAGGUAGGUCCGUUGUGAAAACUCGAGCUCAACCUCGAGACGCCGAUGGAAACCAUCUGACUAGAGUCCAGAAGAGGAGAGUGGAAUUCCUGGUGUAAGCGGUGAAAUGCGCAGAUAUCAGGAAGAACACCCGUGGCUAAGGCGGCGUCCUCUAGUACGGUACUGACGCUGAGACGCGAAGCGUGGGGAGCGAACAGG
This 254-nucleotide ribosomal RNA is filed under the name uncultured bacterium. RNAcentral's name for it is "partial 16S ribosomal RNA". It matches the Rfam family "Bacterial small subunit ribosomal RNA", at positions 524 to 776 of the family's 1533-position model. The record is from RNAcentral.